Molecule: ribosomal RNA, 253 nt
Filed under: uncultured bacterium
Lineage: Bacteria
Description: partial 16S ribosomal RNA
Rfam family: Bacterial small subunit ribosomal RNA
Source: RNAcentral
UACGUAGGGCGCGAGCGUUGUCCGGAAUUAUUGGGCGUAAAGAGCUCGUAGGCGGCCUGUUGCGUCCGCUGUGAAAUCCCAGGGCUUAACCCUGGGCGUGCAGUGGAUACGGGCAGGCUGGAGGCAGGCAGGGGAGAACGGAAUUCCCGGUGUAGCGGUGAAAUGCGCAGAUAUCGGGAGGAACACCGGUGGCGAAGGCGGGUCUCUGGACAACACCUGACGCUGAGGCACGAAAGCCAGGGGAGCAAACGGG